CCGCGACCCCAGGUCAGGCGGGACUACCCGCUGAGUUAAGCAUAUC
This 46-nucleotide ribosomal RNA is filed under the name Veronica hookeriana. RNAcentral's name for it is "partial 28S ribosomal RNA". Lineage: Eukaryota; Viridiplantae; Streptophyta; Magnoliopsida; Lamiales; Plantaginaceae. The record is from RNAcentral.